Molecule: unclassified non-coding RNA, 1695 nt
Filed under: Leishmania donovani
Lineage: Eukaryota; Euglenozoa; Kinetoplastea; Trypanosomatida; Trypanosomatidae
Description: gene:LdHU3.11.1610(CDS-product:hypothetical_prote in_conserved)
Source: RNAcentral
CAGAAGAAGAGCACGCAAGGGAGAGGAAGAGUGGCGAAGGACUUUGAAAAGCGGGAGCCAGGACGCUCUGGGCCGUCGUCAUAACUUUCCUGUUGCUCGAGUAGACUACCCGCAGAACAAUUUUGAGUUUCACUCGUUCUGUUUCUCUUCAUGUGGAGCGUUAUUCGACGGCGUCAGGGCCUCGAGCCCAACGAAGCCCCCUUGCGCCAUGAUGCUCCAUGCAGCGCGCAUCAACGCUGUAUCCUGCUGCAUGCGGUGCGCCCUGUUAUCCCGUACACAAGCCCCACUGCCUUUAGCAAAGCCUACGGGGAUUUUCUGUACGCCAAGAUCCGCCGCUGGCUGCUUGACGAGCGCGCCGAUGUGCGCCUCCACGCGGCAGAUCACCUCGUGGAGCUCUACAAAGAGAAGCGUGAGCACUGUGUGCAGAGCCUUGCAUACGACAUGCUGCCCAUCCUUCUCUCGACCUUGGAGAAGGAUGAGAGCGCCGCCUUGCGGGAGCGGGCUGGAAUGGCGCUAGAGCUGCUCGUGCGCGAGGCCCAGACGCAGCGACUGCUACUCGGAGGGGGUUCCAGCGAGGAUGCGCCCUUUUCCACAUUGGCUGGAAGGCAGACGGCGCCGACGCCGCACCUUGCAGCAAUUCUCGCUUCUCUGCGAGACGAGAGUGAUGAAGUGGUGGUUGCAGCCCUGCGGGUUGUCUUGGCGUGCCAUAUGGCGCACAACGCGUUUUCUGUGACUGCUGCAUUGGUCCAGGGGGGUCUGAUUCCCGUGUUGAUCGGCCUCAUUCAGUCGACAAACACAUUGACGCAGAUGGUUGCCUGCUCUGCAACGCGACAGCUCUUUCAGGUCAAGGAGGCGCACGUGGAGCUCCUCAAGCUCGGCAUCGUUGCAACACUCACUACGACAAUCAUCAAGGCAGAGGCUGUCGCCCUUGUCGCAGAGGCUGCUGAGGUUGCCUCUUUGAUUGCCGAGUAUGCGCAGGGAAGACGCGACGCUGUGGCCUGUGGUACACUUGCCAGUCUUCUCCCGCAUCUGCACAACGCUAACUUGACUCUGCGAGUCGCCGUAUACAGCGCGGCUGCCCAAAUCACCGUGCUGGAGGCGGCCAAGAUACAGGCGACGGAGGUGGGCUACCCGGAGCAACUUGUUGGCGAGCUUGCCAGAGAGGAUGAGCGCGACGUCCUCAUGCACAUGCUGCGACUCAUCUACAACUUGGCGGAGUGGCCGACCGCGCGCGUGACGCUGCGGGAGUGUCUGCCACGGAUUGCGGAGCUGCUGCAAAUCGCCGACGGCGACGAGGGCGCCAUGUUUGCCCUGUCACAGGCCGAUAGAAUCCUCACGAAGAAAGUGUUUCCAGCGUGAGAGGGGAGAAGAGGACAGAAGCCCUCGCUCGGCAGAAGACUUGCACAUGCCUUAUUACUGUCACAGGCGCCGUCGACAAGACAGCUCUGCCACGCUAUAGGAGUGUCUUUGGACGCUUACGCCUCUCUUGUUGUUUUGCCUUCUUCUUGCGUGUGCCUCAGACACUGAGGAGCGCGAUGAUGUACAUUAAAGCCGGCUUGCGCUCACCCCUCUUUCUUACGCCGGAAGGGAGGAAGGGGAGGGGCACACGGUGGGGAAUCGGGCACCCAGCUAAUCGCCACCGAACAUGCAGAAAAGAGCGCAUCGCCUGUUGUGAGGGUCUUAGCGGACGCCACG